GACGAACGCUGGCGGCGUGCUUAACACAUGCAAGUCGAACGGAAAGGCCCUGCUUUUGUGGGGUGCUCGAGUGGCGAACGGGUGAGUAACACGUGAGUAACCUGCCCUUGACUUUGGGAUAACUUCAGGAAACUGGGGCUAAUACCGGAUAGGAGCUCCUGCUGCAUGGUGGGGGUUGGAAAGUUUCGGCGGUUGGGGAUGGACUCGCGGCUUAUCAGCUUGUUGGUGGGGUAGUGGCUUACCAAGGCUUUGACGGGUAGCCGGCCUGAGAGGGUGACCGGCCACAUUGGGACUGAGGUACGGCCCAGAGUGCUACGGGAGGCAGCAGGGGGGAAUAUGGCACAAUGGGCGGAAGCCUGAUGCAGCAACGCCGCGUGCGGGAUGACGGCCUUGAGGUUGUAAACCGCUUUAGCCUGUGACGAAGCGUGAGUGACGGUAAUGGGUAAAGAAGCACCGGCUAACUACGUG
This 468-nucleotide ribosomal RNA is filed under the name uncultured bacterium. RNAcentral's name for it is "partial 16S ribosomal RNA". It matches the Rfam family "Bacterial small subunit ribosomal RNA", at positions 28 to 507 of the family's 1533-position model. The record is from RNAcentral.